Mangifera indica (mango) is the source of this 1865-nucleotide RNA transcript. It is a transcript of the gene named phosphatidylglycerophosphate phosphatase PTPMT2-like, with no coding region annotated. The transcript has 7 exons. Lineage: Eukaryota; Viridiplantae; Streptophyta; Magnoliopsida; Sapindales; Anacardiaceae. The record is from RefSeq and is a predicted model, not a curated record.
CCAACCUAAAUGGGCCCGUCUAAUCUUUGUUUAAAAUUUUCAUAUUAUUUGAAGUUUUCAAAGUAAAAUGAAAACUUCUGCCAAGGAUUCUGAGUUUCUUUCAGAUGAAGAAAUUGCAUUCGUGUGUGGGUUAUUUUAUUUCUCCUUUUUACAAAAACACAAAUUGAAUCCAUAGAUACUUAAUUCAUCAGAAAUAUAUUCUAUUAGUCUUGAAGAUGACUGCAAUCCCCUCGAAUUUUAAUUUCUAACGUUGGACCUAACUCCUACCAUAUCUACCUCUGUGUUGUGUUUCAAUUUCAUUGACUAUUGGGUUUCACAAAAGUCUUCAUAAUCUAUCUCCCUCAGCUUCACUCUCCACUCCCAAAAUCCCUACUAUUGCUUCCAGUUUUAUGUGCUCCUCCUUCCCCUUCCUUCCAAUACCCAUUCUUCUAAUUUUGGAAAUUUACAGAGAUUUGAGAUGAAGAUCGAGGAAUUGGACGACGUGGGUUUUGAGCGAAACGACGAUGCUUGUAAGAGAAAGCAGAUUGCGGGGGUUGACGCCAAGAGAGCGUUGGUGGGAGCGGGUGCUCGGAUCCUCUUUUAUCCGACCCUUUUGUAUAAUGUAUUUCGUAACAAAAUUCAGGCUGAAUUCAGAUGGUGGGACGAAGUUGAUCAGUUUGUUCUGUUGGGUGCGGUUCCGUUCCCUAAGGACGUUCCCCGGUUGAAGCAACUGGGUGUUGGUGGAGUCAUCACUCUCAAUGAACCUUAUGAAACUCUCGUUCCCACGUCCUUGUAUCAUGCCCAUGGGAUUGACCACCUAGUAAUUCCUACAAGAGAUUAUCUCUUUGCUCCUUCGAUUGUCGAUAUUAGGAGAGCUGUUGAUUUCAUUCACAGGAAUUCAUCUUCUGGUAGAACUACUUAUGUUCAUUGUAAAGCUGGCCGAGGAAGAAGUACCACCAUUGUGCUUUGCUAUUUGGUAAGGUUUUGUUUUGUUGAUGCAAGGUUAUUCGUCUAUUUGAAAUUAUAUCUUCUGCAGGUAGAGUGUAAGCACAUGACACCAGCUGCUGCCUUGGAAUACGUACGAUCUAGAAGACCUAGAGUGUUGCUGGCCCCAUCACAGUGGAAGGCAGUUCAGGAAUUCAGCAGGCAAAGACCUACUGCUACCGCAUAUUCUACCUCAGGUGAUGCAGUUCUAAUAACAAAAGCAGAUCUUGAGGGGUAUCAUGGCCCUUCUGAUAAUAAUGAUCGAAAGGAGCUGGUCGUUGUAUCCAGAACAACGAGGACGCGGCCCAUGAUGACUAUAUUGUCAUGCCUCUUUGCAUCUUGGAAAGUUUCUGCUGUUAGUGGACCUGUCACUGGGAGGCGGCCUGAGACACGCGUUUACUAAAUGCCCAAUCCUUUGCCAGAUCCUAUGAAGUUGUUCGUACAGGAAAGUACUAGGAAAUAAAGUUCAGAGCUCUGAUCAUUACCCUGUAUUCAGGCUAAGGCUAAUACUCAUAUUGGUGGGUUUGGGCAACUGUUCCUGCAAUUCAUGUGAAUAGCCUUUUCUCUCUAUGGGUCUCUGGGUAGCACGGCUGGCAGAUGUGGAUGUACAGUUCAAAGAUUUCUAGUCGUUUGCCAAAAAACGACUGGUAAGUAUGAAUUAUGCGACACAGCACUUUUAUCAACUGGUGGUUUGAUCUGCAGUAACUAGUUUACUUACCAACUGUGUAUUCCAAACAGGGCUUACCAUCCACUUCAUGCAAUAACCCAUUAACAAAAAAAGGCUUCUUAGAGUGUUGUUUUUAUACUUGAGCAAUUAUUGCUUUUGUGACUGUUAGUUAUGGACAAGUAUUUGUAUAUCAAAGGUAAGAUAUUGACAAAUUAAUCAAUUAAAAUUCGUGUCA